This 293-nucleotide ribosomal RNA is filed under the name uncultured bacterium. RNAcentral describes it as "partial 16S ribosomal RNA". It matches the Rfam family "Archaeal small subunit ribosomal RNA", at positions 455 to 747 of the family's 1478-position model. The record is from RNAcentral.
GUGCCAGCCGCCGCGGUAAUACCGGCAGCCCGAGUGAUGGCCGAUAUUAUUGGGCCUAAAGCGUCCGUAGCUGGCCAGACAAGUCCGUCGGGAAAUCCAGUAGCCCAACUACUGGGCGUCCGGCGGAAACUACAAGGCUUGGGACCGGAAGGCUCGAGGGGUACGUCCGGGGUAGGAGUGAAAUCCCAUAAUCCCGCACGGACCACCGAUGGCGAAAGCACUUCGAGAAAACGGAUCCGACAGUGAGGGACGAAAGCCAGGGUCUCCAACCGGAUUAGAUACCCCGGUAGUCC